Molecule: ribosomal RNA, 327 nt
Filed under: uncultured eukaryote
Lineage: Eukaryota
Description: partial 18S ribosomal RNA
Rfam family: Eukaryotic small subunit ribosomal RNA
Source: RNAcentral
CCCUUAGAUGUUCUGGGCCGCACGCGCGCUACACUGACGAAUGCAACGAGCUUAUAACCUUGGCCGAAAGGUCUGGGUAAUCUCCAAAUUUCGUCGUGAUGGGGAUAGAUUAUUGCAAUUAUUAAUCUUCAACGAGGAAUGCCUAGUAAGCGCAAGUCAUCAGCUUGCGUUGAUUACGUCCCUGCCCUUUGUACACACCGCCCGUCGCUCCUACCGAUUGAAUGGUCCGGUGAAGCGUUCGGACCGUGGCCUUUGGACGGUUCGCCUUCUGUUGGCUGCGGGAAGUUCGUUAAACCUUAUCAUUUAGAGGAAGGAGAAGUCGUAACA